AAUCGACGAAAGUCGGAUGCAGCGACGCCACGUGGAGGAUGAAGCCCUUAGGGGUGUAAACUCCUGUCAGGAGGGAAGAAGGCAUGGAUGAAAAUAUUGUUUUUGCUUGACGGUACCUCCAGAGGAAGCUCCGGCUAACUUCGUGCCAGCAGCCGCGGUAAUACGAGGGGAGCGAGCGUUGUUCGGAUUUACUGGGCGUAAAGAGCACGUAGGCGGGUAUGCAAGUCGGUUGUGAAAUCCUCUAGCUCAACUAGAGAAUUGCAAUCGAAACUGCAUACCUUGAGUCCAGCAGAGGAAAUCGGAAUCCGGGGUGUAGCGGUGAAAUGCGUAGAUAUUCUGGAGAACACCAGUGGCGAAGGCGGAUUUCUGGGCUGGUACUGACGCUGAGGUGCGAAAGCUAGGGGAGCGAACAGGAUU
Molecule: ribosomal RNA, 417 nt
Filed under: uncultured Deferribacteraceae bacterium
Lineage: Bacteria; Pseudomonadati; Deferribacterota; Deferribacteres; Deferribacterales; Deferribacteraceae
Description: bacterial SSU rRNA
Rfam family: Bacterial small subunit ribosomal RNA
Source: RNAcentral